UGGGGAAUCUUCCGCAAUGGACGAAAGUCUGACGGAGCAACGCCGCGUGUAUGACGAAGGCCUUCGGGUUGUAAAGUACUGUCUUUGGGGACGAACGGUAUCUAUGUAAAUAAUGCAGAUACAUGACGGUACCCAAGGAGGAAGCCCCGGCUAACUACGUGCCAGCAGCCGCGGUAAUACGUAGGGGGCGAGCGUUGUCCGGAAUCAUUGGGCGUAAAGGGCGCGUAGGCGGGUCAUUAAGUCUGGUGUGAAAGGCAGGGGCUCAACCCCUGGAAGGCACCGGAACUGGUUAUCUUGAGGACAGGAGAGGAAAGCGGAAUUCCACGUGUAGCGGUGAAAUGCGUAGAUAUGUGGAGGAACACCAGUGGCGAAGGCGGCUUUCUGGACUGUAACUGACGCUGAGGCGCGAAAGCGUGGGGAGCAAACAGGAUUAGAUACCCUGGUAGUCCACGCCGUAAACGAU
Molecule: ribosomal RNA, 463 nt
Filed under: uncultured bacterium
Lineage: Bacteria
Description: partial 16S ribosomal RNA
Rfam family: Bacterial small subunit ribosomal RNA
Source: RNAcentral